Molecule: ribosomal RNA, 558 nt
Filed under: Rhodotorula sp.
Lineage: Eukaryota; Fungi; Basidiomycota; Microbotryomycetes; Sporidiobolales; Sporidiobolaceae
Description: partial large subunit ribosomal RNA
Rfam family: Eukaryotic large subunit ribosomal RNA
Source: RNAcentral
CGAAGCGGGAAGAGCUCAAAUUUAUAAUCUGGCACCUUCGGUGUCCGAGUUGUAAUCUCUAGAAAUGUUUUCCGCGUUGGACCGCACACAAGUCUGUUGGAAUACAGCGGCAUAGUGGUGAGACCCCCGUAUAUGGUGCGGACGCCCAGCGCUUUGUGAUACAUUUUCGAAGAGUCGAGUUGUUUGGGAAUGCAGCUCAAAUUGGGUGGUAAAUUCCAUCUAAAGCUAAAUAUUGGCGAGAGACCGAUAGCGAACAAGUACCGUGAGGGAAAGAUGAAAAGCACUUUGGAAAGAGAGUUAACAGUACGUGAAAUUGUUGGAAGGGAAACGCUUGAAGUCAGACUUGCUUGCCGAGCAAUCGGUUUGCAGGCCAGCAUCAGUUUUCCGGGAUGGAUAAUGGUAGAGAGAAGGUAGCAGUUUCGGCUGUGUUAUAGCUCUCUGCUGGAUACAUCUUGGGGGACUGAGGAACGCAGUGUGCCUUUUGGCGGGGGUUUCGACCUCUUCACACUUAGGAUGCUGGUGGAAUGGCUUUAAACGACCCGUCUUGAAACACGGACC